GCCGGGGCUGUGGCUGGGGACUGUAGUCCUAGCUACUUGGGAGGCUGAGGCCGGUUGAUCACUUGAGCCUAGAAGUUCUGGUCUGUUGUACACUAUACCAGUUGGGUGUCCACAUUAAGUACAACAUCCAUAUGGUGACCUCCCAGGAUUGGGGGACCACCAGGUUGCACAGGGAGAGGUGAACUGUCCCGGGUCUGAAACAAGCAGGUCAAAAUGCCUGUGCUAAUCAGUAGUGGAUUGUGUCUGUGCCUAGUCCCUGGACUCCAGCCUAGGCAACAUAGUGAGACCUUUGUCUCU
This 297-nucleotide signal recognition particle RNA is filed under the name Microcebus murinus (gray mouse lemur). RNAcentral's name for it is "Metazoan signal recognition particle RNA (ENSMICG00000032801.2)". It matches the Rfam family "Metazoan signal recognition particle RNA". From Rfam's summary of the family: The signal recognition particle (SRP) is a universally conserved ribonucleoprotein. The record is from RNAcentral. Lineage: Eukaryota; Metazoa; Chordata; Mammalia; Primates; Cheirogaleidae.